RNAcentral lists this long non-coding RNA (853 nucleotides) under Phasianus colchicus (ring-necked pheasant). RNAcentral describes it as "lncRNA (ENSPCLG00000017573.1)". The record is from RNAcentral. Lineage: Eukaryota; Metazoa; Chordata; Aves; Galliformes; Phasianidae.
CCAAAGAUGGGUGCUGGUCUUUGAUCCAUGAUGGGUGCUGCUCACUGGCCAAAGAUGGGUGCUGCUCAUGGCUAAAUACGGGUGCUGGUUGUUAUCCAAGGAUGGGUGCUGGUUGUUACCCAAGGAUGGGUGCUGGUCGUUGGCUGAAGAUGGGUGCUGGUCGUUGGCUGAAGAUGGGUGCUGGUCUUUGAUCCAUGAUGGGUGCUGCUCAUUGGCCAAAGAUGGGUGCUGCUCUUUGAUCCAGGAUGGGUGCUCGUCACCAGCCAAAGAUGGGUGCUGCUCAUGGCUAAAUAGGGGUGCUGCUCGUUACCCAAGGAUGGGUGCUGGUGUUUGGCUGAAGCUGGGUGCUGCUUCGUGGUCCAGUUUGGGUGCUGCUCAGCAGGCAGGGAUGGGUGCCGGUCCUCAACCACAAAUGGGUGCUGCUCACCCCCCAAAAUCCUUCGACUUCUUCCGCAUUCGAUCCCCAAAACCAGGCAGGGGGUGGAAAUUUUGCUUCCAAUUUCUCCUUUAUUUCUAUUUUAUUUGAUUUUUUUUUGCUGUGUUUGUUGUGUUUUUCUUUUUUCAUUUUUGAAUUAUUUUGAUUUUCCCCUUUUUGUUUUUUAAUAUAGAAAUUGAUUUCUUGUUUAUUUUUUUAAUCAUCACACCAAGUUUUUUUUACGAGGCCUUUGAGGGCAGCUUUUGGACUGGAAUGAUUUGGAAGUUCAUGAGGAAUCAUUGAACCUGUUUUGCCCAUGAAAAUGGAAGCCAUGCUCUCUCUUUCCCCAGGGAUGGAAUUGGAAAGGGAAAGGGAAAGGAAAAUGGGGGGGGAGGGGGGGGAAAUAAAGAGGAAAUGGGAAAAAGUGUGGGGAAAAGG